GCAGCACCAGGGAGGGAGAUAGACACAGGCUGCUGGCUGUUCCUUCUGGACCCUGCUGCUGACCCAGGAGAAACCUGACCUGGAGGAAGGAUUGAGGUGACCAGAACUGCCAGCUGCUGAGUACCCAGAGGACCUGGAGGGGCCAGGCUGUAACCCGGGCCAGCGUGAGCCUGACACAGAGGGGGAGCUGGCGCUGGCGCUGAAGCUGCUAGCAGCUGAAUACUCGGAUGAGCUGGAGAGGCCCACUUGAGAGACCGGAAUUCCAAUGAAAGCCAUUCUACCAUGUUUCACUUGAUGUCAGAAUCGACUUCCACCUCCAGGUGGAAUCUUUAUGGGGUGAAUAAAGACUGGAAGAGUUAUGCAGAGGGUUUUAUUAUAAAGCCAGAAAUCAUUUGGUUGACAUUAAUGGGAAAGUCUGUCUUUUGGAGAGGUCCACAUCUCUGAACGCUAUUUCCUGCUCUCAAGGUUCUCUAAUGCAAUGAACCUAAAUAUAUGAACUCUCCAGAAUCUAACAUCAGACUUUGGUUUGGACCUUCAGCUCACUUGCACCAGCCUGACAGGAGAGAUGGGAAUUACUUUACUUCUCUCAUGCUUCAGAAACAUGUGUAUAUGAGAUGAGUUGCCUAAGGGCUACAUUCUUUUUAAAUAUUAGUGCUAAGUGUUUGAGAUAGAGGUGCUCCUGUUUUAUUUAACAGUAUUUGUGCCAUUCAGCUUUGAAAUGUAUUGUUUUAAUCAGACGUCACUGUGUUUUUCCUUAAAUUCCAAAGGACUUUUAAAAAAAGACAAAUGAUACAUUGUUUAAAUACAAUAUCUUGCUAUUCUCGCUCCUCAGGAGAAGGAAACUUGCCUGUUGUAGCAGCAACAGGAGGCAAUUACCUCUUGCACCCUAGCCAGU
Dermochelys coriacea (leatherback sea turtle) is the source of this 895-nucleotide long non-coding RNA. RefSeq lists it as uncharacterized. The record is from RefSeq and is a predicted model, not a curated record. Lineage: Eukaryota; Metazoa; Chordata; Testudines; Dermochelyidae. The transcript is spliced from 3 exons.